CGCUAGCCACUUUUGCCGGGUGUCCACUUCUUCUUCAGCUAUGGUCGUACGAGCAUUUCGCCAUAGGUAGGCCGGUGGUGGAUCGCUCCCCGUACCCAGAGGAGUGGUACGGCGAGAUGGACGAGGACGCGCCGACAAUGGCCUCGCUGUGGUGUCGUCGACGGGGUUGGGAUUGUCACCCUUGUGCACCCGCGACGAGGAGUACUGGCUCACCAAGGCGCCCCUUGUCUUCGACAUCUACGUCGAAGAGUACUCACCGCAGCGCGUCAUGCGGCAGUUUGGCCGUCACCAGGCAUUCCCGCUCGUCCCCAUCCGUACAGUCCCCUUGCACGUCCACAGGUACACGCGGAAAGGCCAGCCAGCUGGCCACCUCUGGGCGGACCGCUUGGCCCCUUACGUGGCAACAUGGGCCCAAGCGCUAC
This is a long non-coding RNA of Phragmites australis (common reed), 422 nucleotides long. RefSeq lists it as uncharacterized. The transcript is spliced from 3 exons. NCBI's taxonomy places the organism in Eukaryota, Viridiplantae, Streptophyta, Magnoliopsida, Poales, Poaceae. The record is from RefSeq and is a predicted model, not a curated record.